This 253-nucleotide ribosomal RNA is filed under the name uncultured bacterium. RNAcentral describes it as "partial 16S ribosomal RNA". It matches the Rfam family "Bacterial small subunit ribosomal RNA", at positions 524 to 776 of the family's 1533-position model. The record is from RNAcentral.
UACAGGGGGGGCAAGCGUUGUUCGGAAUUACUGGGCGUAAAGGGUCAGUAGGCGGCCAACUAAGUCCGACGUGAAAUCCCAAAGCUUAACUUUGGAACUGCGUCGGAUACUGGAUGGCUUGAAUUCGGGAGAGGGAUGCAGAAUUCCAGGUGUAGCGGUGAAAUGCGUAGAUAUCUGGAGGAACACCGGUGGCGAAGGCGGCAUCCUGGACCGGUAUUGACGCUGAGGCGCGAAAGCCAGGGGAGCAAACGGG